GACGAACGCUGGCGGCGUGCUUAACACAUGCAAGUCGAACGGAAAGGCCUCAGCUUGCUGGGGUACUCGAGUGGCGAACGGGUGAGUAACACGUGGGUGAUCUGCCUUGCACUCUGGGAUAAGCUUGGGAAACUGGGUCUAAUACCGGAUAUGAACUGCCUUUAGUGUGGUGGUUGGAAAGUUUUUUCGGUGCAAGAUGAGCUCGCGGCCUAUCAGCUUGUUGGUGGGGUAAUGGCCUACCAAGGCGUCGACGGGUAGCCGGCCUGAGAGGGUGUACGGCCACAUUGGGACUGAGAUACGGCCCAGACUCCUACGGGAGGCAGCAGGGGGGGAUAUUGCACAAUGGGCGGAAGCCUGAUGCAGCGACGCCGCGUGGGGGAUGACGGCCUUCGGGUUGUAAACUCCUUUCGACAGGGACGAAGCUUUUUGUGACGGUACCUGUAUAAGAAGCACCGGCUAACUACGUG
Molecule: ribosomal RNA, 467 nt
Filed under: uncultured bacterium
Lineage: Bacteria
Description: partial 16S ribosomal RNA
Rfam family: Bacterial small subunit ribosomal RNA
Source: RNAcentral